CAGGACGAACGCUGGCGGCGUGCCUAAUACAUGCAAGUCGAACGGUCUUUUCUAUGGAAGCUUGCUUCCACUGAAAAGAUAGUGGCGAACGGGUGAGUAACACGUGGGUAACCUGCCCAUAAGAGGGGGAUAACAUCCGGAAACGGGUGCUAAUACCGCAUAGUUUUCUUGAUCGCAUGAUCGGGAAAGGAAAGACGGCCUUUGUGCUGUCGCUUAUGGAUGGACCCGCGGCGUAUUAGUUAGUUGGUGAGGUAACGGCUCACCAAGACGAUGAUACGUAGCCGACCUGAGAGGGUGAUCGGCCACAUUGGGACUGAGACACGGCCCAAACUCCUACGGGAGGCAGCAGUAGGGAAUCUCCCGCAAUGGACGAAAGUCUGACGGAGCAACGCCGCGUGAGUGAAGAAAGGUUUUCGGAUCGUAAAACUCUGUUGUCAGAGAAGAACAAGUUGGAGAGUAACUGCUCCAGCCUUGACGGUAUCUGACCAGAAAGCCACGGCUAACUACGUGCCAGCCGCUGC
Molecule: ribosomal RNA, 521 nt
Filed under: uncultured bacterium
Lineage: Bacteria
Description: bacterial SSU rRNA
Rfam family: Bacterial small subunit ribosomal RNA
Source: RNAcentral